RNAcentral lists this ribosomal RNA (549 nucleotides) under Triticum aestivum (bread wheat). RNAcentral describes it as "partial small subunit ribosomal RNA". Lineage: Eukaryota; Viridiplantae; Streptophyta; Magnoliopsida; Poales; Poaceae. The record is from RNAcentral.
UUCGAAGACAAUACCGGACCUGCUGCACAAAAGUGUUGCCCUCAAAUCAGUGUUUCUAGGUUGAAAAUGGCCAAUAAGUUGAAGAAUAUGAGAAGGCAGUUGAAGGGGAUCACGGAAGACCGCAUUCCUUUCACUUUCAUGCAAGAAAAUGUCCCAAGUGUGCAGGAAGUCCGUUACAACCGGGAAACAACAGCGGCUGUGACGGAAGCACAAGUCGUAGGGAGGGAUAAGGAAAAACUGGAAAUCAUGAAUCGUUUAUCUGGGAGCAUGACAAAAGAGAUCACCAUUCUUCCGAUCUAUGGUAUUGGAGGCAUUGGGAAGACAACCAUGGCACAACUGGUUUUUAAUGAUUCCAAGUUCAAAAAGUACUCUCAGGUGUGGGUUUAUGUGUCCGAGACAUUUGACUUGAAGAAAAUUGGGAAUUCUAUAAUAUCACAACUAUCCGAGAGGAAUAGUCAGCAUACUGACCUUCAGGUGAUAGAAAAUAACCUUCAGACACUCCUUGCUGGUAAAGAGGCACUAAUCAUCUUAGAUGACCUGUGGGAGAGG